CGGCGCGGGUGGAAUUCCCGCGAUCUGUCUCAUUCCCUGCGCCGCCGAGAAAAGUGAGAUCCCGCGAGACUCCCAGGGGUCUCAUUCUGUCACCCAGGUUGGAGUGCAGUGGCAACAUCAUAGCUCACUGCAGCCUUGAACCCCUGGGCUCAAGUGAUCCUCCUGCUUCAGCCUCCUGAGUAGCUGGGGCUACAGGCACUUUCCCUACAUUUUCAAAGGCCUGCAUCAUCACAUCUGCCGCAGCAUUCUCUAUCAUUGAGACAUUUUCUCAGGAAAUCACCUGUGAAAUAUUUUGCAGCUAACCACCUACCUGUGCCCCACCAGCCAACAUGCUUUACUCCUGCCAGGCAGCUGUGUCACUCUGGAAGCUUUGAUCAGAAAAUUGUAGUUGCUGUUGCCUCUGAUGUGCAAGUCCAAGAUUCUUGGGCCGCAGGACAUGUUCUGCAUAUAUUCCUGGAGAAUAGACCAACAAUGAGACUGAAUCAGUAACGAAAAGUCUUCUAUGAAAGAAAAACCCAGAACCAGAUUGCUUUACUGCUUAAUUCUAAUAAACUCAUAAAGAACAACAAACACCAAUUCUUCUCAAACUAUUCCAAAAAAAUUGAAGCAGGGCAGGGAGGAAUUCUUCCUAACUCAUUCUAAAAGGCCAGCAUUAUCCUGAUACCAAAACCAGACAAGGACACAGCAAAAACAGAGAACUACAGGCCAAUAUCCCUGAUGAUGCUAAAUGGAAAAAUCCUCAACAAAAUACUAGCAAAACCAAUGCAACAACACAGAAAAGAUAAUACACCAUGAUCAAAUGAGAUUUAUCCCAAGUAUGCAAUCAUGAUUCAACAUACACAAAUCAAUACUUGUGAUACAUCACAUCAACAGAGUGAAGGACCAAAAGACAUAUGAUCAUCUCAACAGAUACAGAAAAAGAUUUGAUAUGAUUCAAAAUCCCAUUAUGAUAAAAACUUUUAUUUU
This 966-nucleotide non-coding RNA is filed under the name Pan troglodytes (chimpanzee). The record is from RNAcentral. Lineage: Eukaryota; Metazoa; Chordata; Mammalia; Primates; Hominidae.